Molecule: ribosomal RNA, 520 nt
Filed under: uncultured Glomeromycotina
Lineage: Eukaryota; Fungi; Glomeromycota
Description: SSU rRNA
Rfam family: Eukaryotic small subunit ribosomal RNA
Source: RNAcentral
AGCAGCCGCGAUAAUUCCAGCUCCAAUAGCGUAUAUUAAAGUUGUUGCAGUUAAAAAGCUCGUAGUUGAAUUUCGGGGUCAGUGGGUCGGUCGUGCCACUGGUAUGUACUGGCCCUACUGAUUCCUCCUUCUUGAAGAACUGUAAUGCCAUUAAUUUGGUGUUGCAGGGAAACAGGACUGUUACUUUGAAAAAAUUAGAGUGUUUAAAGCAGGCAAUCGCUUGAAUACAUUAGCAUGGAAUAAUGAAAUAGGACGCUCGAUCCUAUUUUGUUGGUUUCUAGGAUUGACGUAAUGAUUAAUAGGGAUAGUUGGGGGCAUUAGUAUUCAAUUGUCAGAGGUGAAAUUCUUGGAUUUAUUGAAGACUAACUACUGCGAAAGCAUUUGCCAAGGAUGUUUUCAUUAAUCAAGAACGAAAGUUAGGGGAUCGAAGACGAUCAGAUACCGUCGUAGUCUUAACCAUAAACUAUGCCGACUAGGGAUCGGAUGAUGUUAAUUUUUAAUGACUCAUUCGGUGCCUUAA